CCUACGGGAGGCAGCAGUGGGGAAUAUUGCACAAUGGGGGAAACCCUGAUGCAGCAACGCCGCGUGGGUGAAGGAGCGUUUCGGCGCGUAAAGCCCUGUCAGCGGGGAAGAAGAAAGACGGUACCCGACCCAGACGCCCCGGCUAACUACGUGCCAGCAGCCGCGGUAAUACGUAGGGGGCGAGCGUUAUCCGGAUUUAUUGGGUUUAAAGGGUGCGCAGGCGGAAGAUCAAGUCAGCGGUAAAAUUGAGAGGCUCAACCUCUUCGAGCCGUUGAAACUGGUUUUCUUGAGUGAGUGAGAAGUAUGCGGAAUGCGUGGUGUAGCGGUGAAAUGCAUAGAUAUCACGCAGAACUCCGAUUGCGAAGGCAGCAUACCGGCGCUCAACUGACGCUCAUGCACGAAAGUGUGGGUAUCGAACAGGAUUAGAUACCCUAGUAGUC
This 440-nucleotide ribosomal RNA is filed under the name uncultured bacterium. RNAcentral describes it as "partial 16S ribosomal RNA". It matches the Rfam family "Bacterial small subunit ribosomal RNA", at positions 338 to 795 of the family's 1533-position model. The record is from RNAcentral.